Molecule: non-coding RNA, 45 nt
Filed under: Schistosoma bovis
Lineage: Eukaryota; Metazoa; Platyhelminthes; Trematoda; Strigeidida; Schistosomatidae
Also listed under: 1 other name
Source: RNAcentral
AUCCAGAUGACGAGUCCCAAAUAGGACGAAGCGCGCGUCCUGGAU